Molecule: ribosomal RNA, 647 nt
Filed under: Claviceps purpurea (ergot fungus)
Lineage: Eukaryota; Fungi; Ascomycota; Sordariomycetes; Hypocreales; Clavicipitaceae
Description: eukaryotic LSU rRNA
Rfam family: Eukaryotic large subunit ribosomal RNA
Source: RNAcentral
UUGACCUCGAAUCAGGUAGGAAUACCCGCUGAACUUAAGCAUAUCAAUAAGCGGAGGAAAAGAAACCAACAGGGAUUGCCCCAGUAACGGCGAGUGAAGCGGCAACAGCUCAAAUUUGAAAUCUGGCCCCUUGGGGCCCGAGUUGUAAUUUGCAGAGGAUACUUUUGGCGAGGCGCCUUCCGAGUUCCCUGGAACGGGACGCCAUAGAGGGUGAGAGCCCCGUCUGGUUGGAUGCCGAGCCUCUGUAAAGUUCCUUCGACGAGUCGAGUAGUUUGGGAAUGCUGCUCUAAAUGGGAGGUAUAUGUCUUCUAAAGCUAAAUAUUGGCCAGAGACCGAUAGCGCACAAGUAGAGUGAUCGAAAGAUGAAAAGCACUUUGGAAAGAGGGUUAAAAAGCACGUGAAAUUGUUGAAAGGGAAGCGCUUGUGACCAGACGUGGGCCUGUCGGAUCAUCCAGCGUUCUCGCUGGUGCACUCCGGCGGGCUCAGGCCAGCAUCAGCUCGUCCCGGGGGACAAAGGCAGCGGGAAUGUGGCUCCUUCGGGAGUGUUAUAGCCCGCUGCGUAAUGCCCUGGGGCGGGCUGAGGUUCGCGCAUCUGCAUGGAUGCUGGCAUAAUGGUUAUCAGCGACCCGUCUUGAAACACGGACCAA